CUCAGGCUAAAAUGAGCCACGGGAUAGGCAGAGAUCAAAGGAAUGGAGAUUACCCAGCGCCUGUGAAGUAAUUCACACCUUGGUGUCUUCAGGCAACAUUAUAAUGCAGGAACCGGCUUCCUACACCUAGGAAUGGAAUUGUUGGGUCAUAUGGCACAUCUAUUUAUCAUUUUAAGGAAUAACUACUGGCAACAACAUUUUAAAUUUCUGCCCUCAUUUAGUUAAGCAGUGUUUAUACUCUUAAAGGUUUUUUUCUUUUUUUCUUUUUUUUUUUUUUGUGUGUACGUGUGUUCCUGUAUGAGUUUAUGAUACCAUGUUACCUGCAGUAGCCAAAAGAGGGAGUUGGAUCUGCUGGUACUGGAAUUAUAGCCAGUUGUAAGCCACCUAAAGUGGGUCCUGGGAUUCAAACCCAUGUUCUCUACAAGAGCAAGUGUUUUUAACCUCUGAGCCAUCUCUCCAGCUCCUGUUUUGGACUCUUGAUAACAUCUUACCUUUGUUAAUUUCUCUCCAGUUGGUGCACCUCCAGGUACACCACAUGCGUGAAGCUGCAGGUGGUAAAUCAUCUUCUGGUUGCUGAGAAUUGAACCUGAGUCCUCUGGAAAAUCUGCCAACGCUGUUCCCUGCUGAGCCAUGUCUCCAGCCUAGGAUGGUUAGUCUUGAUUGUCAGUUUGCUUGGUUCUGAAAUCAACUGAAAGACACCUCUGAGCAGAUCUGUGAGAACAUUUCCAGAAGAGUUAACUGAGGGGAGAAGACUUCCCUAGACUGAGUGGCACUUUCCACAGAGCUCAGAAGUAAAGAGGUCCAAGGAAAGGCUUGCUGGAGUGCGUUUAUUUCCAUUGUCACUGCUGCCACCACUUUUCCCUGACAUUCAAAGAUUCUCUGGGGAUUUCUGAGGCUUUCAGUGUCAUAUUGAGACUGUUGAGGAACUAGACUCAUGGACUGAACAGCUACGAGGUUCUCCAAUGUUUUCAGUGUAUAGACAACAAUCUUUGGAUGACAAGCUUUAUUUCGUAAAUGAAUUAAAUAAAUCCCCUUAGCACUGUAGGUCCUGUUUCUCAGGAAAACCCUGCCUAGUUAACUGGAUCUCUUUGUUCCUAUUUCUAGUAUCCACACAGAAUAAAUCUUUCUCUGUUUUGCACUA
This is a non-coding RNA of Cricetulus griseus (Chinese hamster), 1141 nucleotides long. The record is from RefSeq and is a predicted model, not a curated record. Lineage: Eukaryota; Metazoa; Chordata; Mammalia; Rodentia; Cricetidae.